Molecule: ribosomal RNA, 2502 nt
Filed under: Triticum aestivum (bread wheat)
Lineage: Eukaryota; Viridiplantae; Streptophyta; Magnoliopsida; Poales; Poaceae
Description: partial small subunit ribosomal RNA
Source: RNAcentral
AUGACCACGGCGCCGGGCAAUUACUCCACCAACAAUGACAAGUUACUAUGCUAUACUUAUUUGCAAAUGUCGAGGGAUCCAUCCAUUGGAGGUGAUCAAAGUAGAGACGCGUAUUGGGGGCGAAUGAAAGAACACUUUGAUACUCACAACGUGAGUGGAAUUGACCGCUCCGAGAGAUCACUUCGGUCCCGAUGGUCGACAAUCAACUCGGAUUGUCAAAAGUGGGCGGCUUGUCAAAAGGCGGUUGACAAGAUUAACCCAAGUGGCACAAAUGGGGAUGAUCGAUACAACAUUGCACAAAACUUGUUCAAAGAAGAGACGAGGACAACCAAGAAGGGGAAGAUCAAGAAAGGAAGGGUCUUUACCUUGCCUCAUUGCUAUGAAGUGUUAAAGGAUGAUGAGAAAUGGAAGAAGCGUGAUGGUUUGGAUGAUUUGCAUUUGAGCAACAAACGCAAACGAACAAUUGAGUUGAACGAUGAUGAUGAGGAGGAGGAUGCAUCAAGUGAUGGCGGCAAGAGAAGCCCCACACCCAACUCGGUUUCAUACUCGAAGCCAAAACGCCCGGAUGAGUGCAAGAAAGACAAAACCGAAAAGAAGAAGAGGAAAGGAGAUGAUGAGCUCAAAAAUGCUAUGGAAGCUAUUGUGAAGGCAAGGGUCGAAGACAAUGAGGUGAGGAAAAUGGCAAGGAACCAAGAUGCCGUGGCCGAGGAGAGGAGGUUGGCGGCCGAGGAGAGAAGGGUGGCGGCCGAGGAGAGGAAGGUGGCUUUGGAGGAGAGGAAAGUGAGCAAUGAGGAGCGAGCUAAGUUGUUGGAAUGGGAGAAGCACUUGUUCUUCUUGGACACAUCUAACCUCAAUGCGGCGCAAAAGGAGUAUGUCAAUCUUGCCCAACAAGAAGUCUUGAUCCAAAAAAGAGCCAUGGUUCGUGCAAUGGGUGGCGGUGGCCUCGGCGCAAUGGGUGGCGGUGGCCUCAGCGCCAUGGGUGGCGGUGGCCUCGGCGCCAUGGGAGGCAUGGGUGGCUUCGGAGCCAUGGGAGGCAUGGGUGCACAUCCGGCCGCCAUGGGAGGCAUGGGUGGCUUCGGAGCACCCUUCGACGCUAUGGCCGCCAUGGGAGGCAUGAGUUUUGCUUCUCUCAUGGGAGGCAUGGGUGCACCUCCGGCCGCCAUGGGUGGAAUGUCUUUCGAUGUGCCUUCUCACACACAUUCCCAUGAAGAUGCCGUUGAAGAUCUUGCCAACACCGUCGGAGCUUCACGUGAUGCGGAAGAUCGCCUGAGCGCUCUCCCGGACGAGGCGCUGGAGCAGAUCCUAUCCCACCUCCCGUCCGACGAGGCCACGCGCGCCACCGUGCUGUCCCGCUGGUGGCGCCGCGUCUAUGACAGCGUGCCGGUCGUGGACCUCGUCGACCGCAAGACGGACCGCCGGGGGCGGGGAGUCAACCUCCCCGUGUGCUUCGACAGCAAGCCGCCGGAUGACCUGCUCGACGGCUGGAUCGCCACCGCCGCCUCCUCCGGCGCCGAGGAGAUCGACCUCGAGCUGCAGCUCUGCCCCUUCGGCUGGUUCGGGAAAACCGCCUCGGCCAACUUCGGGGAAGACGUCAGGGGCAGCUACACCAAGACGCCGCGCCAGCUCUUCCGUCUAACAGUCUCGAGCUGCCCGCACCUCGCCGAUCUGAGGCUCGAGGAGUGCCCGACCGCCACCACCAUCACCGUGUCCAGCGAACGCCUCCGGAGCUUCGCCAUGGUCUGCUGCCACAACGCCCGCCGCGUCGUGCUGCGCACCCAGCGCCUGCGAUCCCUACGCUACAAGGGCGGCCUCCCUUCGGACACGUUCCUUGACAUCCCCAACUAUGGCCAAGUGACGGCGCUGACCAUCGAUAUCUGCGAGGACCUCACAAGCAAAGCACCAGUGGAGGUUGCUCCAGUCUUGGAGCUCAUCAGCCGGUGCAAGAAGCUGACGUACCUUCGCCUCGAGCUGCGCCCCUCAAUGGCCUACUACAGCAGCGAGAUCACAGCCAUAGCCCGCGACCACUUACCCCAGCUCCGGCACCUGGUCCUCAAGGGGUUCUUGGCCGCCGAUCACGUCGACGUCCGGUCCGUUGCCGUCCUCGUCGCCAGCACCCUACACCUGGAAGCGCUGUCCUUGUUUCCUCUGGGCUCCGAGACAUUGAACAAGACAUACUACUCUGACGAUGAGUACUCAGAUUCAGACCCUGAGCCGGAGAUCUGUGACAACGAUGACGACAUGUAUGAUGAUGACUGGAUGUUGAGGAGCAUGUGGCGAUGGGGCAUCCCUUGCUCCCGCCAUAGCCUCAAAAGGAUCAACAUCGCCAAGUACACUGGGAAUGGGUUCGACAGGAUACUUGCAAAUUUCCUCUUGUCCAAUGGUGCAGCUCUGGAGGAAUUCUCAGUCACCUUAGCGGCUCCAUUGUCGCCACGCAGGGAGGAGAUUGCAAUGAUGUUCAGAUCCUGGCGACAUAAUCCCAGGACCAUAGUAACUUGUAGCUAG